This 67-nucleotide transfer RNA is filed under the name Aeronautes saxatalis. RNAcentral's name for it is "tRNA-Cys". The record is from RNAcentral. Lineage: Eukaryota; Metazoa; Chordata; Aves; Apodiformes; Apodidae.
AGACUCCGGUACACUUCUAAUGCACAUCAAUGAGCUUGCAACUCACCAUGAACUUCACUACGGAGUC